UAAGAUUAUCGAAAGAUAAUGGACAGUUCCUAUAAGCUGACUGAAAAUGGUUAAGCUGUAUAGGGCGCAGGGCGGAUGCCUUGGCACCAAGAGCCGAUGAAAGACGUGAUAAGCUGCGAAAAGCUGCGGUUAGAUGCAAAUAAUCCUUGAUCCGCAGAUAUCUGAAUGGGGCAACCCGGCAGAGAAGACCUCUGUCAUCCUUAACUGAAUCCAUAGGUUAAGGAAGGGAACCCGGUGAACUGAAACAUCUAAGUAGCCGGAGGAAGAGAAAACAAAAGUGAUUCCGUAAGUAGCGGCGAGCGAACGCGGAAGAGCCCAAACCAGGGAGCUUGCUUCCUGGGGUUAGGACUGUAUAAUCGAUGGAGACUGCUAGAAGAAUGGCAUGGAAAGGCCAGCCAGAGAGAGUGAAAGCCUCGUAUCCGAAAGCGGUCGAAGCGAGACAGUAUCCAGAGUAGGACGAGACACGUGAAACCUUGUCUGAACACGCGGGGACCACCCCGUAAGGCUAAAUACUACUUGGUGACCGAUAGUGAAACAGUACCGUGAGGGAAAGGUGAAAAGAACCCCGGGAGGGGAGUGAAAGAGAACCUGAAACCCUGUGCCUGCAAGCUGCGAAAGCCCCAUACGAGGGUGAUCGCGUACUUUUUGUAGAACGGUCCGGCGAGUUAUGUGGAGAGGCGAGGUUAAGUACUUAAGGUAAAUAGCCGAAGGGAGACCGAGUCUGAAUAGGGCGACAAGUCACUUCACAUAGACCCGAAACCGGGUGAUCUAUCCAUGGACAGGAUGAAGCGGCCGUAAAAGGCUGUGGAGGUCCGAACACACAUCCGUUGAAAAGGGUGGUGAUGAGCUGUGGAUAGGGGAGAAAUUCCAAUCGAACUCGGAGAUAGCUGGUUCUCCCCGAAAUAGCUUUAGGGCUAGCCCUGUAGCAUGCCUAAUGGAGGUAGAGCACUGAAUAUCCGCGGGGGCUUCACCGCUUACCAAAGAUUAUCAAACUCCGAAUGCCAUAUAGGCUGAGCGCAGGAGUCAGACUACACGAGAUAAGUUGGGUAGUCAAAAGGGAAAGAGCCCAGAUCUACGGCUAAGGUCCCAAAGUGCGUGUUAAGUGGAAAAGGAUGUGGGAUUUCAUAGACAGCUAGGAUGUUGGCUCAGAAGCAGCCACACAUUCAAAGAGUGCGUAAUAGCUCACUAGCCGAGAGGUCCUGCGCCGAAAAUUACCGGGGCUGAAACACGACACCGAAGCCUAGGGAUUGGAUGUAUCUACGGGUACAUCUGAUCGGUAGGGGAGCAUUCUGUACUGCAUAGAAACUGUACCGAAAGGAGCAGCGGAGUGUAUAGAAGAGAGAAUGCCGGAAUGAGUAGCGAGAUGGAGGUGAGAAUCCUCCAGGCCGAAUAUCCAAGGAUUCCAGGGUAAAGCUGAUCUGCCCUGGGGAAGUCGGGACCUAAGCUGAGGCCGAAGAGGCGUAGGCGAUGGACAGCAGGUUGAUAUUCCUGCACUUAUGUAUAUCAGAACUGUGGGGACGCAGGCAAAAGGGUCGAGCCGGGGAAGGAAGAACCGGUCCCGCAAGGGGGAACGAAAAUAAGUAGAGAAGCGACAGAUAUGACUGCCAAGAAAAGCCACUAUAGCGUAUACAUAACCCGUACCGUAAACCGACACAGGUGGAUGAGGAGAGAAUCCUAAGGCCGACGGGAGAAGCAUUGUUAAGGAACUCGGCAAAAUGUCCCCGUAACUUCGGGAUAAGGGGAGCCUGAGAAAUCAGGCCGCAGAGAAGAGGCUCAAGCAACUGUUUAGCAAAAACACAGGUCUAUGCGAAACCGAAAGGUGAGGUAUAUGGGCUGACGCCUGCCCGGUGCUGGAAGGUUAAGAGGAGAGGUUAGAGCAAUCGAAGCUUUGAAUUUAAGCCCCAGUAAACGGCGGCCGUAACUAUAACGGUCCUAAGGUAGCGAAAUUCCUUGUCGGGUAAGUUCCGACCCGCACGAAAGGCGUAAUGAUUUGAGCACUGUCUCGGCAAUGCACCCGGUGAAAUUGAAGUACCAGUGAAGAUGCUGGUUACCCGCGCCAGGACGGAAAGACCCCAUGGAGCUUUACUCCAGGUUGAUACUGGGGUCCGGUACCAUAUGUACAGGAUAGGUGGGAGACUAAGAAGUAGUGACGUCAGUUGCUGCGGAGUCGCUGUUGGGAUACCACCCUUAUGAUGCUGGGCUUCUAACCAAGGAUCUUGAAACAGGUCCGGGGACAAUGUCUGCCGGGGAGUUUGACUGGGGCGGUCGCCUCCGAAAGGGUAUCGGAGGCGCUCAAAGGUUCCUUCAGAAUGGACGGAAACCAUUCGAAGAGUGUAAAGGCAUAAGGGAGCCUGACUGUGACACCGACGGGUGGAACAGAUACGAAAGUAGGACUUAGUGAUCCGGUGGUAUGAAAGUGGGAUUGCCAUCGCUCAACGGAUAAAAGCUACCCUGGGGAUAACAGGCUUAUCACUCCCAAGAGUUCACAUCGACGGAGUGGUUUGGCACCUCGAUGUCGGCUCAUCGCAUCCUGGGGCUGUAGCAGGUCCCAAGGGUUGGGCUGUUCGCCCAUUAAAGCGGUACGCGAGCUGGGUUCAGAACGUCGUGAGACAGUUCGGUCCCUAUCCGGCGCGGGCGUAGGAUAUCUGAGAGGAGCUGUCCUUAGUACGAGAGGACCGGGAUGGACGGACCGCUGGUGUAUCAGCUGCAUCGCCAGAUGCAUAAGGCUGGGUAGCCACGUCCGGAAGGGAUAAACGCUGAAGGCAUCUAAGCGUGAAGCCCCCCUCAAGAUGAGAUAUCCCUGCUUCGGCAGUAAGACCCCUUAGAGAGUAUGAGGUUAGAUAGGCACAAGGUGUAAGCAUGGUAACGUGUUCAGCUGAUGUGUACUAAUAGGUCGAGGGCUUAUCCAAAG
This 2911-nucleotide ribosomal RNA is filed under the name Butyrivibrio proteoclasticus B316. RNAcentral describes it as "bacterial LSU rRNA". It matches the Rfam family "Bacterial large subunit ribosomal RNA". Lineage: Bacteria; Bacillati; Bacillota; Clostridia; Lachnospirales; Lachnospiraceae. The record is from RNAcentral.